ACAGCAGCGCGCCGACGGCGAGGAGUAGCGUCGCGGGCGCCCGCGCGGCUCGGGGACACAUAGCUGUGGCGCGUGAACUGGGUGCGAAAGCGGGCGAGCGGGGCGAGUGCCGGCGAGUAGGGGUGUUUAAUGUGUGUUUUUGGUCUUCUCUCCAAGUGAUGGAAACAGAGUUGCUGCUUCAGUGGUAGUAGUACUUGGAAUUCAAGUAACACUAACCUAAAAUCUACUGUAGACCCAUUGGGCGAUAGUAUGAAAGAACCAAGAAGGAUUUCGGCUGUCCUGGAGCUGAUAAUGCUGCAAACAAGAGAAGAGGACACACUUCUCUUCUCCCCAACAGCUCAGAAUUGGAGCAAAGCUCCAGGAUCAUUGGCAGCAGAGGGAAGAUAAGGAGGAGGAUAUGAAAGUGACCCCCUAUGGGGGUCUUACACUGAGGUCCUUGUGCGACCUGCCUCCAAUCUGCAUUGCUCCAGAUGCUCCCCAGGCCACACCAAACUGCCGCGGAGAGAAGAACACAGACAGGGAUGUAUCGAUUUCAUGUUAUGGCUGAGUUUUAGCCAGAAUGUCUGAGAAAAAGUUACAGAAAUUAAACUGUUUUUAUACCAGUAA
Non-coding RNA from Macaca mulatta (Rhesus monkey), 606 nucleotides. The record is from RefSeq and is a predicted model, not a curated record. Lineage: Eukaryota; Metazoa; Chordata; Mammalia; Primates; Cercopithecidae.